ACGAAAGUCUGAUGGAGCAAUACCAUGUGAACGAUGAAGGCCUUUUUGGUUGUAAAGUUCUUUUACGAGGGAUAAUUAUGAUAGUACUUCGUGAAUAAGUGACAGCAAACUAUGUGCCAGCAGCUGCGGUAAUACAUAGGUCGCGAGCAUUAUUCGGAUUUAUUGGGCGUAAAGCAAGCGCAGGCGGAUGUGUAAGUUCUGUGUUAAAUGCAGCUACUCAAUAGUUGUAUGCACCGAAUACUACAUGUCUAGAUUGUGGUAGGGAGUUUCGGAAUUAAGCAUGGAGCGGUGGAAUGUGUAGAUAUGCUUAAGAACACCAGAGGCGAAGGCGGAAACUUAGGCCAUAAAUGACGCUUAGGCUUGAAAGUGUGGGGAGCAAAUGGGAUUAGAUACCCCAGUAGUCCACACCGUAAACGAUGGGUAUUAGAUAUUAGGGCUUUAGCUUUAGUGUUGUAGCUUACGCGUUAAAUACCCCGCCUGGGUAGUACAUAUGCAAAUAUGAAACUCAAAGGAAUUGACGGGGACCUGAACAAGUGGUGGAGCAUGUUGCUUAAUUCGAUAAUACACGAAAAACCUUACCAAGGUUUGACAUCCCUCGCAAA
RNAcentral lists this ribosomal RNA (602 nucleotides) under Mycoplasma haemofelis. RNAcentral's name for it is "bacterial SSU rRNA". It matches the Rfam family "Bacterial small subunit ribosomal RNA", at positions 375 to 997 of the family's 1533-position model. The record is from RNAcentral. Lineage: Bacteria; Bacillati; Mycoplasmatota; Mollicutes; Mycoplasmatales; Mycoplasmataceae.